GCGCUCACUUUGGCAAUACAUUUAGUAAAAUUAGAAAGAUACAGAGAUUAAUAACACAACCCUGUACAAGGAUGGCAUGCAUAAUUGUGCAGUGUUCCUUGUAUAU
Chionomys nivalis (European snow vole) is the source of this 106-nucleotide small nuclear RNA. The record is from RefSeq and is a predicted model, not a curated record. NCBI's taxonomy places the organism in Eukaryota, Metazoa, Chordata, Mammalia, Rodentia, Cricetidae.